AUUGAACGCUGGCGGCAGGCCUAACACAUGCAAGUCGAACGGUAGCACAGAGAGCUUGCUCUUGGGUGACGAGUGGCGGACGGGUGAGUAAUGUCUGGGAAACUGCCCGAUGGAGGGGGAUAACUACUGGAAACGGUAGCUAAUACCGCAUAACGUCUUCGGACCAAAGUGGGGGACCUUCGGGCCUCACACCAUCGGAUGGGCCCAGAUGGGAUUAGCUAGUAGGUGGGGUAAAGGCUCACCUAGGCGACGAUCCCUAGCUGGUCUGAGAGGAUGACAAGCCACACUGGAACUGAGACACGGUCCAGACUCCUACGGGAGGCAGCAGUGGGGAAUAUUGCACAAUGGGCGCAAGCCUGAUGCAGCCAUGCCGCGUGUAUGAAGAAGGCCUUCGGGUUGUAAAGUACUUUCAGCGGGGAGGAAGGCGUUAAGGUUAAUAACCUUGGCGAUUGACGUUACCCGCAGAAGAAGCACCGGCUAACUCCGUGCCAGCAGCCGCCGUAA
This 504-nucleotide ribosomal RNA is filed under the name uncultured bacterium. Its description in RNAcentral is "partial 16S ribosomal RNA". It matches the Rfam family "Bacterial small subunit ribosomal RNA", at positions 30 to 523 of the family's 1533-position model. The record is from RNAcentral.